This 70-nucleotide transfer RNA is filed under the name Catharus fuscescens (veery). It matches the Rfam family "tRNA". From Rfam's summary of the family: Transfer RNA (tRNA) molecules are approximately 80 nucleotides in length. Their secondary structure includes four short double-helical elements and three loops (D, anti-codon, and T loops). Further hydrogen bonds mediate the characteristic L-shaped molecular structure. tRNAs have two regions of fundamental functional importance: the anti-codon, which is responsible for specific mRNA codon recognition, and the 3' end, to which the tRNAs corresponding amino acid is attached (by aminoacyl-tRNA synthetases). tRNAs cope with the degeneracy of the genetic code in two manners: having more than one tRNA (with a specific anti-codon) for a particular amino acid; and 'wobble' base-pairing, i.e. permitting non-standard base-pairing at the 3rd anti-codon position. Lineage: Eukaryota; Metazoa; Chordata; Aves; Passeriformes; Turdidae. The record is from Rfam by way of RNAcentral. RNAcentral also lists the same sequence under 1 other name.
GUUCUUGUAGUUGAAGUUACAACGGUGGUUUUUCAGGCCAUAGGUCUUGGAUAGAGGCCAAGCAGGAAUU